GAUGAACGCUGGCGGCGUGCCUAAUACAUGCAAGUCGAGCGAACGGACGAGAAGCUUGCUUCUCUGAUGUUAGCGGCGGACGGGUGAGUAACACGUGGAUAACCUACCUAUAAGACUGGGAUAACUUCGGGAAACCGGAGCUAAUACCGGAUAAUAUUUUGAACCGCAUGGUUCAAAAGUGAAAGACGGUCUUGCUGUCACUUAUAGAUGGAUCCGCGCUGCAUUAGCUAGUUGGUAAGGUAACGGCUUACCAAGGCAACGAUGCAUAGCCGACCUGAGAGGGUGAUCGGCCACACUGGAACUGAGCCACGGUCCAGACUCCUACGGGAGGCAGCAGUAGGGAAUCUUCCGCAAUGGGCGAAAGCCUGACGGAGCAACGCCGCGUGAGUGAUGAAGGUCUUCGGAUCGUAAAACUCUGUUAUUAGGGAAGAACAUAUGUGUAAGUAACUGUGCACAUCCUGACGGUACCUAAUCAGAAAGCCACGGCUAACUACGUG
This 497-nucleotide ribosomal RNA is filed under the name uncultured bacterium. Its description in RNAcentral is "partial 16S ribosomal RNA". It matches the Rfam family "Bacterial small subunit ribosomal RNA", at positions 28 to 507 of the family's 1533-position model. The record is from RNAcentral.